UGGCUCAGACGGUAAAGCGUCUGCCUGAAGUGCAGGAGACCCGGGUUCCAUCCCUGG
RNAcentral lists this transfer RNA (57 nucleotides) under Bos taurus (domestic cattle). It matches the Rfam family "tRNA", at positions 8 to 63 of the family's 71-position model. Rfam says of the family: Transfer RNA (tRNA) molecules are approximately 80 nucleotides in length. Their secondary structure includes four short double-helical elements and three loops (D, anti-codon, and T loops). The record is from Rfam by way of RNAcentral. RNAcentral also lists the same sequence under 1 other name. Lineage: Eukaryota; Metazoa; Chordata; Mammalia; Artiodactyla; Bovidae.